RNAcentral lists this ribosomal RNA (234 nucleotides) under uncultured bacterium. Its description in RNAcentral is "partial 16S ribosomal RNA". It matches the Rfam family "Bacterial small subunit ribosomal RNA", at positions 15 to 244 of the family's 1533-position model. The record is from RNAcentral.
GAUCAUGGGCUCAGAUUGAACGCUGGCGGCAGGCCUAACACAUGCAAGUCGAACGGUAACAGAAAGCAGCUUGCUGCUUUGCUGACGAGUGGCGGACGGGUGAGUAAUGUCUGGGAAACUGCCCGAUGGAGGGGGAUAACUACUGGAAACGGUAGCUAAUACCGCAUAACGUCGCAAGACCAAAGAGGGGGACCUUCGGGCCUCUUGCCAUCGGAUGUGCCCAGAUGGGAUUAG